UCGAACGGCAGCGCGGGGCAACCUGGCGGCGAGUGGCGAACGGGUGAGUAAUAUAUCGGAACGUACCCUGGAGUGGGGGAUAACGUAGCGAAAGUUACGCUAAUACCGCAUACGAUCUAAGGAUGAAAGCAGGGGACCGCAAGGCCUUGUGCUCCUGGAGCGGCCGAUAUCUGAUUAGCUAGUUGGUGGGGUAAAGGCCCACCAAGGCAUCGAUCAGUAGCUGGUCUGAGAGGACGACCAGCCACACUGGAACUGAGACACGGUCCAGACUCCUACGGGAGGCAGCAGUGGGGAAUUUUGGACAAUGGGCGCAAGCCUGAUCCAGCAAUGCCGCGUGAGUGAAGAAGGCCUUCGGGUUGUAAAGCUCUUUUGUCAGGGAAGAAACGGUGGGGGCUAAUAUCCUUUGCUAAUGACGGUACCUGAAGAAUAAGCACCGGCUAACUACGUGCCAGCAGCCGCGGUAAUACGUAGGGUGCAAGCGUUAAUCGGAAUUACUGGGCGUAAAGCGUGCGCAGGCGGUUUUGUAAGACUGUCGUGAAAUCCCCGGGCUCAACCUGGGAAUGGCGAUGGUGACUGCAAGGCUAGAGUUUGGCAGAGGGGGGUAGAAUUCCACGUGUAGCAGUGAAAUGCGUAGAUAUGUGGAGGAACACCGAUGGCGAAGGCAGCCCCCUGGGUCAAAACUGACGCUCAUGCACGAAAGCGUGGGGAGCAAACAGGAUUAGAUACCCUGGUAGUCCACGCCCUAAACGAUGUCUACUAGUUGUCGGGUCUUAAUUGACUUGGUAACGCAGCUAACGCGUGAAGUAGACCGCCUGGGGAGUACGGUCGCAAGAUUAAAACUCAAAGGAAUUGACGGGGACCCGCACAAGCGGUGGAUGAUGUGGAUUAAUUCGAUGCAACGCGAAAAACCUUACCUACCCUUGACAUGGAUGGAAUCCCUGAGAGAUUGGGGAGUGCUCGAAAGAGAACCAUUACACAGGUGCUGCAUGGCUGUCGUCAGCUCGUGUCGUGAGAUGUUGGGUUAAGUCCCGCAACGAGCGCAACCCUUGUCAUUAGUUGCUACGAAAGGGCACUCUAAUGAGACUGCCGGUGACAAACCGGAGGAAGGUGGGGAUGACGUCAAGUCCUCAUGGCCCUUAUGGGUAGGGCUUCACACGUCAUACAAUGGUACAUACAGAGGGCCGCCAACCCGCGAGGGGGAGCUAAUCCCAGAAAGUGUAUCGUAGUCCGGAUUGUAGUCUGCAACUCGACUGCAUGAAGUUGGAAUCGCUAGUAAUCGCGGAUCAGCAUGUCGCGGAGAAUACGUUCCCGGGUCUUGUA
RNAcentral lists this ribosomal RNA (1320 nucleotides) under Duganella sp. SS45(2011). RNAcentral's name for it is "bacterial SSU rRNA". It matches the Rfam family "Bacterial small subunit ribosomal RNA", at positions 62 to 1385 of the family's 1533-position model. Lineage: Bacteria; Pseudomonadati; Pseudomonadota; Betaproteobacteria; Burkholderiales; Oxalobacteraceae. The record is from RNAcentral.